Molecule: ribosomal RNA, 485 nt
Filed under: uncultured bacterium
Lineage: Bacteria
Description: partial 16S ribosomal RNA
Rfam family: Bacterial small subunit ribosomal RNA
Source: RNAcentral
GAUUGAACGCUGGCGGCAGGCCUAACACAUGCAAGUCGAGCGGAUGAAGGGAGCUUGCUCCUGGAUUCAGCGGCGGACGGGUGAGUAAUGCCUAGGAAUCUGCCUGGUAGUGGGGGAUAACGUCCGGAAACGGGCGCUAAUACCGCAUACGUCCUGAGGGGGAAAGUGGGGGAUCUUCGGACCUCACGCUAUCAGAUGAGCCUAGGUCGGAUUAGCUAGUUGGUGGGGUAAAGGCCUACCAAGGCGACGAUCCGUAACUGGUCUGAGAGGAUGAUCAGUCACACUGGAACUGAGACACGGUCCAGACUCCUACGGGAGGCAGCAGUGGGGAAUAUUGGACAAUGGGCGAAAGCCUGAUCCAGCCAUGCCGCGUGUGUGAAGAAGGUCUUCGGAUUGUAAAGCACUUUAAGUUGGGAGGAAGGGCAGUAAGUUAAUACCUUGCUGUUUUGACGUUACCAACAGAAUAAGCACCGGCUAACUUCGUG